This 490-nucleotide ribosomal RNA is filed under the name uncultured bacterium. Its description in RNAcentral is "partial 16S ribosomal RNA". It matches the Rfam family "Bacterial small subunit ribosomal RNA", at positions 30 to 507 of the family's 1533-position model. The record is from RNAcentral.
AUUGAACGCUGGCGGCAGGCCUAACACAUGCAAGUCGAACGGUAACAGGAAGAAGCUUGCUUCUUUGCUGACGAGUGGCGGACGGGUGAGUAAUGUCUGGGAAACUGCCUGAUGGAGGGGGAUAACUACUGGAAACGGUAGCUAAUACCGCAUAACGUCGCAAUACCAAAGAGGGGGACCUUCGGGCCUCUUGCCAUCGGAUGUGCCCAGAUGGGAUUAGCUAGUAGGUGGGGUAACGGGUCACCUAGGCGACGAUCCCUAGCUGGUCUGAGAGGAUGACCAGCCACACUGGAACUGAGACACGGUCCAGACUCCUACGGGAGGCAGCAGUGGGGAAUAUUGCACAAUGGGCGCAAGCCUGAUGCAGCCAUGCCGCGUGUAUGAAGAAGGCAUUCGGGUUGUAAAGUACUUUCAGCGGGGAGGAAGGGAGUAAAGUUAAUACCUUUGCUCAUUGACGUUACCCGCAGAAGAAGCACCGGCUAACUCCGUG